GGAGAGGUGUCAGAGUGGUCGAAUGUGCCGCUUUCGAAAAGCGGUGUUCGGGAAACCGAACCGCGGGUUCAAAUCCCGCCCUCUCCG
RNAcentral lists this transfer RNA (87 nucleotides) under Candidatus Magasanikbacteria bacterium CG_4_10_14_0_2_um_filter_41_10. RNAcentral describes it as "tRNA-Ser". It matches the Rfam family "tRNA". From Rfam's summary of the family: Transfer RNA (tRNA) molecules are approximately 80 nucleotides in length. Their secondary structure includes four short double-helical elements and three loops (D, anti-codon, and T loops). Further hydrogen bonds mediate the characteristic L-shaped molecular structure. tRNAs have two regions of fundamental functional importance: the anti-codon, which is responsible for specific mRNA codon recognition, and the 3' end, to which the tRNAs corresponding amino acid is attached (by aminoacyl-tRNA synthetases). tRNAs cope with the degeneracy of the genetic code in two manners: having more than one tRNA (with a specific anti-codon) for a particular amino acid; and 'wobble' base-pairing, i.e. permitting non-standard base-pairing at the 3rd anti-codon position. The record is from RNAcentral. Lineage: Bacteria; Candidatus Magasanikiibacteriota. RNAcentral also lists the same sequence under 1 other name.